GUACUUGUGGCUUGUAUCCAA
RNAcentral lists this microRNA (21 nucleotides) under Glycine max (soybean). Its description in RNAcentral is "gma-miR1516d". Lineage: Eukaryota; Viridiplantae; Streptophyta; Magnoliopsida; Fabales; Fabaceae. The record is from miRBase by way of RNAcentral.